CAUAUCAACUUUCUAUGCCAGUUUCUACGCCUAUCAUGGUGACCACGGGUAACGGGGAAUCAGGGUUGAAUUACG
This 75-nucleotide ribosomal RNA is filed under the name Pelobates cultripes (western spadefoot toad). RNAcentral describes it as "SSU_rRNA_eukarya". The record is from RNAcentral. Lineage: Eukaryota; Metazoa; Chordata; Amphibia; Anura; Pelobatidae.